RNAcentral lists this ribosomal RNA (491 nucleotides) under uncultured bacterium. RNAcentral's name for it is "partial 16S ribosomal RNA". It matches the Rfam family "Bacterial small subunit ribosomal RNA", at positions 29 to 506 of the family's 1533-position model. The record is from RNAcentral.
AGUGAACGCUGGCGGUAGGCCUAACACAUGCAAGUCGAACGGCAGCACAGUAAGAGCUUGCUCUUACGGGUGGCGAGUGGCGGACGGGUGAGGAAUACAUCGGAAUCUACUUUUUCGUGGGGGAUAACGUAGGGAAACUUACGCUAAUACCGCAUACGACCUACGGGUGAAAGCAGGGGAUCUUCGGACCUUGCGCGAUUGAAUGAGCCGAUGUCGGAUUAGCUAGUUGGCGGGGUAAAGGCCCACCAAGGCGACGAUCCGUAGCUGGUCUGAGAGGAUGAUCAGCCACACGGGAACUGAGACACGGGCCAGAACCCUACGGGGGGCAGCAGGGGGAAAUAUUGGAAAAUGGGCGAAAGCCUGAUCCAGCCAUACCGGGGGGGUGAAGAAGGCCUUCGGGUGGUAAAGCCCUUUUGUUGGGAAAAAAAAGCAGCAGGUUAAUCCCCCGCUUUUCUGACGGUACCAAAAAAAAAAGCACCGGCUAACUUCGU